RNAcentral lists this non-coding RNA (21 nucleotides) under Caenorhabditis elegans. The record is from RNAcentral. Lineage: Eukaryota; Metazoa; Nematoda; Chromadorea; Rhabditida; Rhabditidae.
UACGAUAUUUUUGAAAUUUCA